AUGAUUUUUAAAGCGGGUCGAGCGUUAAGCGAGGCUUGCGAAAAUAUUUAAAACCCCACUCUUUUUAACUUUAAAAAAUGAUACACGAAUUUAAAAAAAGA
Molecule: unclassified non-coding RNA, 101 nt
Filed under: uncultured Glomus
Lineage: Eukaryota; Fungi; Glomeromycota; Glomeromycetes; Glomerales; Glomeraceae
Description: sequence contains ITS1
Source: RNAcentral